Long non-coding RNA from Scophthalmus maximus (turbot), 3110 nucleotides. RefSeq lists it as uncharacterized. Lineage: Eukaryota; Metazoa; Chordata; Actinopteri; Pleuronectiformes; Scophthalmidae. The transcript has 2 exons. The record is from RefSeq and is a predicted model, not a curated record.
CGGGAGGAGAGUUACCUGCCUCCCCUCGGAGUCGGUGGAGCGGACCGAUGGAAAACCAGGAGCGGACUCUUUGAAACACUGCGCGCGGAGCGACAGCCGACAACACGCUGUUCAGUUUGGAGAACGCAGCAGCAUCGCAUCAUCUUUGCACACCAUUGACCCCCGGAUCAGGUUCGACAUUCACAGGCCACAAGGUUCAGCGGAACGCCUGCGAAGUCUGGACACCGGUGUCCUGUCGGGGAGAAGAGAAACAGUGGGCGCCUGCAGAAUCCUGAUGUGCCCCCUGGUGUUUUGAAGUGAACACAGCAACGUCAAGGUUGGCUCAAUGUGACAUUAAACUCGGGGCCACAGAUUCCAAGGUCAGAUAAACUGACAUCUACAAAUUCCUCCCCUGCUGCCGGCAUGUGUACUCUGUGGCAACAGUUUCACGAGUUACUCAAUAGGCCAGUGCAAAAUGCUGAUACAGCAGCUGUCCCUUACUUACUGAACAUUGUGACAUCCCGCGUGCAUCCUGGAAAAAAGGAAAAGCCCACGAAGGCGAGGUGUAUCCUCCUGUUGCACAAUAGUAACAUCCGCAUUUGUCCCUUCGCUCAGCACAAAAAUGUUUUUGACAGGAAAGCAGCUUGCGGAUGACAGAUAUAGUACACCACAGCUGGUCAGGGGGGGGAAAGGAACAAGCCCAGUGGUGUUUUGUUAUUCAAAGGCCAUAUGAGGCCAGUGUUUGACAUGUCAUAGCAGAACAGAACACACAGGCGCAAUCAAUGAAAAUUAAUUCAGACUGUAUGUAACCGUUAUUGUUUUGUCAGAUCCACCUUUGCUUUUUCUGCUAUGACAGUGUGCGAAAAUGUGGAGUUCUUUUUGACUGUGAAUCUAUGAAAGAUUUUAUGAACCCCAAACUCUAAGACACAGAGCAUUCAAUUUUGAUCAUAAUUUGUUUUUAAAAUGGAAAGGUGAGUAAACUGUCCAGUUCUAGACAUGAACAAAACUUUAAUCAAGAUUAAAUAUACCCCCCGAAAGGUCUCGCAACUCAGAAGAAGUCUAAACUUAAUACAAAAAAGAUGAGUUUCUCCCUCCGUCAUGUCAAUGGCGCCUCACAAGUUUUAUACUUCCUGGGAAUCUUGAGACUUUCAUUCAGGGUAAAUUGCAUACGUAUCUCAUUCGCCAUACUUUACAGUGCAUUUAUUCUCAAAACAAUAGCCUUCUUCCACAUCUAAAAACCCAUACAUAAACUCAUUUAUAGAAUUAUUUACAUACAAGGCUCGAACAAAUCAAACUCAAACCAUUUGGUGAGCAAUUAGAAACUUAGUAAGAAAAGAAAAAAAUGAACAUCACACAUCAGAAGACAUGGGAACUUGCUUGAACUUUAUGGCUUGUUUUGAGCCAUAUAUGUAGUGACAUUUUGUUUCACGAAUCACUGAAUUGACCAUUAAUUAAUUAAUUAAAUAAUAAGACAAAUUGUCACCCAGCAAGGCCGAUGGAAGAAUACUCAACUUGCACGAUUUUUCCACCUGUGUCUUUAAAAUUUGGUUGCAUACAUACAUAAAAAUAUACAAACACAGCUCAAUAAGAGUGAUAAACCAAAAGUCUCUGAUGCCCACUGGAGACGGCCUCCCCUUCAACAAGCAUUGUUCAGAUUCAGACAGGAUACAGUCGACACAGCACUGCUCACAAUGCACCUGCAUGGAAAGUACAGAAAUCAUGCAUAUUCAAUGUGGAACCAAACAGAAUGAUUCAAAAAUAUGGCAAAAAAGAAUAAAGAAAGAAAAGUUAAACACAUUUAGAUGUCACAACUGAGUUAGUACGCAACCACGUCACCCAAGACACAAUUAUAAGACUAUACCAUCUCUGUUUGUUAACGACACGAUGUUUGAGGUGACAAGUUGAUUCAAACCAGGAAGAAAAAACAGAAUACCAGCACUGUGUCUUGUGUUGUGGUGUGGUGGUUUUUUUGAAGCGCUGCAGAGAUGUAACAGAGUGUUAUGACCUCCACAACAUUACAUUUUUAUUGUUACAUGUGUCAGAAGAACUGAACACAGAAUGAUAAACACAAAAAGAAAAACCCAGCAAUAUAACUUCUGUCCAAAUGUGACGUCCUUUUUCUUCAUUAUUCCGCAAAGAAUUGAUGAGCAAACGACAACUGACGAUUUAACAUAAUAUUCGUGUGGUGAAACCAUACAGACAGGCAACGUAAAAGAGCAGCAUCAACUGCUUGAAGGUGGGAAAACUGAAAGGGCAUCAAACAGAAUUUUCUCUUUUUUUGGGGUGGGAGAGAACAAAUAUUUAUUAAGCAAUUUUAAUUUCUCUUAUUCUGCAUCACGCACACCGAGAUGUUUGAGUUUACAAGGCCAGAAGGCCCACAGCCGUACUUUAAUCAUGUGUAUGUUUAUUUUUAACUGCCUCACUUAACACCAAUGACUUCAUUUGGAGCUUUUCCCUAAACCUUGCAAUGACUUCUUUCCCGUCCUUCAUAAACUUUGCCCAUAAACCUUAAUCUGAAAAAGAGGAAAAACGAAUAAUUCUCAUGGUACUAUUUCUGCACAGGAAUAAGCCAAAAAGAGCACUGCCUCCACUAAACAUCCUCUCAGGUCUUCAUAUAUGCAUCAUGGUAGCUAGGUAAGAGAAUAGCAGACUACUGUUAAACAACAAAAAGGAUGAUUCAGUUUGUGUACUCUGGUGUCUGUAAAGUGUGCGCGAGACUUGGCAAAGACCAGAAGCUCUCUGUGGAACAAAAAGGUAUAGUGUCAUGAAGUACAUGUUCAAUAUAAUUUGAUUUUUCAACAUCGUCUGUGUUCUCAUGGGAUAAACAACCACCAUCACCAACCAAACAGGAAAACGUUUGGCUCACAGAGCGCUGGAGUUUCCUGGUGUCCGCGCAUGGUCAUGAAAGCAUCACUCAGGGCAGAGGCAGCCGCAAGGCCACGUCGGACAGUGUUGGGCGCCGGGGUGUUGACAUAAGAGGAGCCCGGGGGUGAAAAGUGGUAAAAUACAAUAUGAGAGCGAAGUCUUACAGCCGGGUCUAUGUGAGCGCAGCAAGGACAGGUGGUGAAUACGCAACAGGGAUAUACACACACUCCUCUUCCAAGGGCUCAAUGACAUGAUCUAGCAUGGGU